Molecule: ribosomal RNA, 486 nt
Filed under: uncultured bacterium
Lineage: Bacteria
Description: partial 16S ribosomal RNA
Rfam family: Bacterial small subunit ribosomal RNA
Source: RNAcentral
GACGAACGCUGGCGGCGUGCUUAACACAUGCAAGUCGAACGCUGAAGCCCUGGCUUUUGUUGGGUUGGAUGAGUGGCGAACGGGUGAGUAACACGUGAGUAACCUGCCCUCUUCUUUGGGAUAACGCCCGGAAACGGGUGCUAAUACUGGAUAUUCACUGAUCUUCGCAUGGGGGUUGGUGGAAAGGUUUGUUCUGGUGGGGGAUGGGCUCGCGGCCUAUCAGCUUGUUGGUGGGGUGAUGGCCUACCAAGGCUUUGACGGGUAGCCGGCCUGAGAGGGUGACCGGUCACAUUGGGACUGAGAUACGGCCCAGACUCCGACGGGAGGCAGCAGUGGGGAAUAUUGCACAAUGGGCGAAAGCCUGAUGCAGCGACGCCGCGUGAGGGAUGGAGGCCUUCGGGUUGUAAACCUCUUUCGCUCAUGGUCAAGCCGCAACUGUGGGUUGUGGUGAGGGUAGUGGGUAAAGAAGCGCCGGCUAACUACGUG